This is a long non-coding RNA of Amphimedon queenslandica, 216 nucleotides long. RefSeq lists it as uncharacterized. The record is from RefSeq and is a predicted model, not a curated record. NCBI's taxonomy places the organism in Eukaryota, Metazoa, Porifera, Demospongiae, Haplosclerida, Niphatidae. The transcript is spliced from 4 exons.
GAAUGAAUGUGAAUGUCCUCACAACUUUGGAGGCAGCAACUGCAGAGAUUGUUUGCUAACUGUUACUGACUGUCAGAACCAAUAUCUAUUAAAUCAAGCUAGCUGUCGCUGUGAAGCAUGUCCCUCUGGUUAUUAUCAAUUUCUUGUUGAUCCAGAAUCAAGAGUGCCAGAGAGUGUUGUUGGAUCACCAGGUGAAGAAGAAGGCCAUCACGAGAA